Long non-coding RNA from Phocoena sinus (vaquita), 2119 nucleotides. NCBI's taxonomy places the organism in Eukaryota, Metazoa, Chordata, Mammalia, Artiodactyla, Phocoenidae. The record is from Ensembl.
GUGAAAUACCUGUUCAUGUCCUUUGCCUAUUUUUCCAUUAGGAUCCCUGUGUUUUUAUUAUUGAUUUGUAGGAGUUCUUAGUGUGGUGGGAUUUUAUAACUUUCAUAUGUAUGUUUCAGAUACAGCAUAUUCUCAAAAGUCAUUACUUGUAUAUUCCCUUUGGGGUUGUGUGUGUGUGUGUGUGUACAUGCAGUAAUUUGAAAUUUUUAUGCAGUCAAAUCUAUCAGUCUUUCCCCUCCUGACUUUUGAAUUUCUCUCACUUAGAAAGGGUAUCCACAUACCAAAUUUUAAAAUACACCCUAUACUCUUCUAAUACUAAAUCCCCUUAUAUCUGGGUCUCUUUCCUCUGUUUGGUUCCACUGAUCUGUUCUUCUAUUCCUGUACGUAUCAUAUGGUUUCAAUUACUAUAGCUUUCUGGGAAAGCAUGUACCCUCUUUUUCUUUUUUCUAAUUUUUCUAGGUUAGUGUUACGAGUUUGCCUCUCUGGGUAAAUUUUAGAAUCAUCUUGCCUAAUUCCCCAUGCAAAUUCACUAGAAAUUCAGUUGUGACUAUUCAAUCUGAAGACAGAAACAAUGCAUUCCAUAUAAGGGGACAACUGAAUGACGGUGGAUUUCUCAUCUGAAACCAUGGUGGCCAGAAAGAGAUGGCACAACAUUUUUCAAAUGCUGAAGAAAAAAACAAAACUGUAAACCCCUAAUUCUCUAUCUAGCAAAAAUGCUCUUCAGAAAUGAAGGGAAAAUAAAGACUUCCAGAUGAUGAAGACUUUCAGAUGAAGGAAAGCUAGGAAUUUGUCACCAGAAGGCCUAACUGUAAAAGAUUGGCUAAAGAGAUUCUACAAUUAUAAAGGAACUGGUAACAAAAGAAAAAACAACAGUGGAAAUAAGGGUAAACAUAAUGGACUGUCCUUCUCAUGAGUUUUCAAAAUCACAUUUGAUGGUUGAAACAAAAAAUUAUAAUACCAUCUGAUGUGGAACUUAAGACAGUUAUAUUAAUGCAUGGGGAGGGUAAAGGGACUUAAAUGGAGGUAAGGUUUCUGCACGUCAGUCAAAAUGGUAAAAUGUCAAUACCCGUAGACUGUGUUAAGUAGGGUGUGUAUAUUGUAAUACCUAGUGAAACCACACACACACACACACACACAAAUACAUAGAAACACACUCAAAAAUACUUCGAAUGAUUAAAAAUAGAAUUCUAAAAAAUGUUCAAGUAACCCACAGAAAAGCAAGAAAAUGGAAGAGGUAUGAGAAACAGGGAACAAAAAUUGUAAAAAGUCCCAACGUAUGUUCAUGUACAAAAACAGUACACACACCUAUUUAGAUGUGAUUAUACUAUGUAUUUUUUUGCUGUUUUUCCUUCUCUUUCACAAACGUACUAAAGAUUCUCACUGAUUACUCUUUCCUCUGCCUACAGCACUCUGUAGGGUCUCCACUCAAAUUACCUUCUCACAAAGUCCUUUCAGAACUACUCCAUCCAAUUGCAGCUUCUCUCACACUCAACUUAUUCUACAUCAUAUUGCCCUGUUUUGUUUUUAUCAUAGUAUUUAUCUUUACUAGAUACCUUCUUCUUUUAAAAAAUUUUUAAUGAUUAUUGUCUAUCUCCCCUCAUUAGAAUAUAAGCUCCUGAGAGCAGAAACCUAUUUGGACCUUUACCUCAUUGCCUAGAACUGUGGUACAUGAUAGGUAGCGCAUGGUAUGUAUAGGCUCAUAAAAUAUUUUUUGCAUAACAAUAUAUUCAGUAAGUAUCUUUGUAAAUGUGCAUUCUUGCAUUGUAUCAAUUUAUCAUAGGUUAGUCAAAUAGAUAAAAGACUUAAAUGUUAAAAAUAAAACUAUAGACAAGUAACAAGACAAUUUUAUAGUCUAUAACAUUAAAUUUAUGAGGUGAAAUCUAUGCUUUAUAGUUGAUCUCAAUAUAUGAAGAAUCUUUUUCAUCCAUGAUAUUAAAAGUAUUCAUAUAAUUGUAUAUGAUGCUUUUAUUGUUUCUUAUAUUGCAAUUAUAAAAUUAUCCCUUUUGGAAUUUCUAUUUUUUAGUGUGAUGCAGGGAUGCAGUGUUAUUGUUUUGUCCAAAAUGUUUGGUUGUAGGUCCCCAAAACAUGUAUUGAAUAAAACAUACUGCUCUUAAUUUUU